UAAGAGUAUACGGUGGAUGCCUUGACAUAAGAAGACGAUGAAGGACGUAGCAGCCUGCGAUAAGCUGCGGUGAGGUGGCAAGCAACCUUUGACCCGCAGAUCUCCGAAUGGGGAAACCCCCUCUCUUGAAGAGAGAGGAAGCUUAGCCUUUUAGGCUGGGCUGGAAGACCCGGUGAACUGAAACAUCUUAGUAGCCGGAGGAAAAUAAAAUAAAAAUCAUUCCCUGAGUAGUGGCGAGCGAAAGGGGAGGAGUCUAAACCCAAAUAACUGAGUGAUUGGUCUAGUUUACUAGGUUGGUCACAGAAGGCUCUGGAGCCAUAUGUUUUUUCGGGGUUGCAAGAUAUUAGCGCCCGUUGCCAGAUCAGCGGGGCGAAGUAAAAAAAGAUAUUUCUUAAUUGAAUGAGCUGGAAAGCUCGGCCAGAGACGGUGAUAGCCCGGUAAGUGAAAAGAAAUAACUCUUCGUGGCUAGUGUUCUUAAGUAGGACGGGACUCGUGAAAUCCCGUUUGAAGCCAGGUCGACUAUGACCUAAGACUAAAUACUUCUUAUGAUCGAUAGUGAACAAGUACCGUGAGGGAAAGGUGAAAAGCAUCCCGAUUAGGGAGGUGAAAUAGUACCUGAAACCAUAUACUUACAAAGAGUCGGAGCCCCGCAAGGGGUGACGGCGUGCCUAUUGAAGAAUGAGCCAACGAGUUUGUUCUAUGUGGCUUGCAUAAUCUCCUUUGGAGAGCAUGCAGAGUGAAAGCGAGGGUUAAUAGCCCGCAUUGUGCUUCACUUUUACGCAUUAACUAACGUUAGUGCGUUAAGGUGAAGUACACGUCGCAUGGACAAGACCCGAAGCCGGGUGAUCUAACCAUUAGCAGGUUGAAGUUCGUCGAAAGACGGAUGGAGGACCGAACCCAUUAGCCGUGCAACACUAUGGGAUGACUUGUGGUUAGCGCAGAAAUUGUAAUCGAACUCGGCAAUAGCUGGUUCUCCUCGAAAUAGCUUUUGGGCUAGCCUCGAACGUUUACCUCAGGGGGUAGAGCACUGGAUGAGGGCGGGUCGCAAGAUACCGUCUUCAAUCAAACUCCGAAUACUUGAGGGUACAGUUCGGGAGUCAGACUAUGGGCGCUAAGGUUCAUCAGUCGAAAGGGAAACAGCCCGGAUCACAAUCUAAGGUCCCUAAAUCUAUACUAAGUGUAAAAGGUGGUGUUGCGACUACGACAGUUAGGAGGUUGGCUUAGAAGCAGCCAUCCUUUAAAGAUAGCGUAAUAGCUCACUAAUCAAGUUGUUUCGCGCCGAAAAUUUAUCGGGGCUCAAGUAUAGUACCGAAGGUGUGAACUUUCUGAUUAAUUUCAGGGAGUGGUAGAGGAGCAUUCUCUUCAGCGUUGAAGCCGUGUCGUGAGGCGCGGUGGAGCGAAGAGAAGGGAGAAUGUUGGCAUGAGUAGCAAAAAGGCGGGUAAAAACCCCGCCCAUCGAAAACCUAAGGUUUCCUGGGCAACGCAAAUCGACCCAGGGUUAGUCGAUCCUAAGGCGCAGCUCGUGUAGCGCGAGUGCCAGCCGAUGGAUGAGCCGGUUAAUAUUCCGGCACUACUGUUGUUUUCCGAAGGGGGGACGCAGUUUCAAGGUUUAAGCGUGCUAUGGUAUGUACGUUUGUUGUCUCAAGAAAUGGCUUAGGUAAAUCCGGGCCGACAAUUUCAAGGGACUAUGAAGAGAUGAAGCCGCAAGGUGGAAUCGAUUUAAGCGGAGGAACUGACAAGAAAAACCUCUAGGGCUAAGGCAACAGUAAUCGUACCGUAAACCGACACAGGUAGGUGAGGCGAGAAGCCUCAGAUGUACGAGAGAAACUUCGUUAAGGAACUCGGCAAAACAGCGGCCGUAAUUUAGAGAUAAGGCCUGCCCCGCGCAAGCGGGGCCGCAGCUAAAGAGCCCAAGGGACUGUUUAUCAAAAACAUAGCUCUCUGCUAACUCGCAAGAGGAUGUAUAGAGGGUGAUGCCUGGCCAGUGUCCGAACGUUAAGAGGAGAGGUUAGCCGCAAGGCGAAGCUUUGAAUCCAAGCGCGGAUGAACGCCGGCGAUAACUAUGAACGAUUGUAGUUAUAAAAUUUGGCUAUAUGCUGGAAUCCCCUGUCAAGCUGAAAGUACUCAUUCUUUAAAAGAAUAGUGAAAAUCUUUCAGAUAAUCCUUAAAAAGGUACAGGACAAUCAGCAGGAAAGACUCUUAUGAUUAAAUUCAAUAUAAAACCGGAAAUCGCUUAUUACUUAUCCGGCUUUACCGAUGGUGAAGGAAGUUUUAAUGUUUCGUUAAGAAAAAGGCCAGACCAUACUAUGGGCUGGCAGAUAGUAUUAACUUUUAACGUUUCGCAAAAAGAAAGUUAUAUCCUGUCUCAAUUCAAAAAACAUUUUGAUUGCGGGCGGAUAGUGAGACGGAAGAAAGACGGGUUGUUUAUGUAUGUCGUUGAUAAUCCCACAUCUUUGCGAGCCAAAGUAAUACCAUUCUUUAAGGAAUAUGGAUUUCUUUCACAAACCAAGAAAUAUAAUUUCUCGGUAUUCUGUCAAAUCGCUGAAUUAGUUUUUAAGAAAGAACAUCUUAAUUCCGACGGUUUUAAAAAAAUCGUGGAAUUAAGAGAAAAACUAAAUAUCGGGCGAGGACGGAAAAGAAAAUAUAAUCAAGAAGAUUGUUUAAAAAUCUUCCAAGAGAAUCCUCAGAGACUACAUGCCAAACCGCGCAUUUUUCAACCUGAAAAAUAGCGGAUGAUAUAGUCCGAUCUUUAUGGAAACAUAAAGCCGGUUGCCAUAUGAGGGCGCCGGAAUCUAGAGAUAGAUUAACAUCAUGAAUCGUCCUAAGGUUACGCGAUUUAUUGCUAUUAUUAGCAAAAGAUAGCUAGCCAUAGAACAAACAAUAGAUCCCGUAAGGACUGGGACUAUUAUAGGAUAAAACAGUUUAACAAAAAUGUUAGUAAGUCAUUAUAAAAAAUUCGCUGCCUAACUAUAGUGAAAACUAUAGUAUGUCCAUAAAUUUCAGCAAAAUGCGAGAAAACCCUCAAAAGAUUUUAGUACUUAUUUAUAUAAGUAAUAAUCUAAAAUACACGGGGGCAACACGCAGGAUUAUAUUAUUUUAAUUUAAUCCUCAGAGACUUAAAAGCUGGAACCCUACAGCAGUAAUGCCAGGGGGAAGAUAAAGUCCGUGCUUAAUAGAAAUAUUAAGGGUUACAAAGCGAAAUUCCUUGUCGGGUAAGUUCCGACCUGCACGAAUGGCUUAACCACUUGGGCACUGUCUCAACGAAGUACUCGGUGAAAUUGCAAGACGAGUAAAGAUGCUCGUUAACCACAGUUGGACGAAAAGACCCCGUGAAGCUUUACUACAACUUGAUAUUGAGUUAGGGAUAGACACGUUCAGAAUAGGUGGGAGCCUUCGGGCGCCAGUGAGAUACCACCCUUGUCUAUUUUUAAUUCUUACCCUGAAAUUCAGGGGACAGUGUCUGGUGGGUAGUUUGUCUGGGGCGGAUGCCUCCCAAAAAGUAACGGAGGCGUUUACAAAGGUCGGCUAUCUCGGAAUGGAAACCCGAGAGAUAGUGUAAAGGCAUAAGCCGGCUUUACUGCGAGACCUACAAGUCAAGCAGUCGCGAAAGCGGAACUUAGUGAUCCGACCAUUCAAUAUAGGAUGGUGGAAGCUCAUCGGAUAAAAGCUACUCCGGGGAUAACAGGCUAGUCAGGUCCAAGAGUCCACAUCGACGACCUGGUUCGGCACCUUAAUAUAUCGGGGCGCCAUCUCGAGCAAUCGAGUGAAUAAAAUUGGCUUAUAACGGUGGACUCCAUAAUUUAUUUGGCCUAUAAUAAUUAAUUAUGGACAACGCCGCGGGAAGUCUAACUCAAACGCAAAAAUCAAUAAUCAUCGGCUCAAUUUUGGGCGAUGGUUACUUGCGCGUUAUCAAGGGAUAAUGGAAAGAUUGAGUUAUGACCCUGUAGAGACUUGUUUUCUUUUUUGGUAAAAAAGAGAACGGAUAGUUCUGACAUUUAGAGCUAUAAUACGCCAACUCCCAUUUGAUUUUUAAUGGGAUGAAGACAUAGUCCGUACCAUUGGUAACAAUGGAAUCAUACACGAUGUCGGCUCGUCGCAUCCUGGGGGUGGAGAAGCUCCCAAGGGUUGGGCUGUUCGCCCAUUAAAGCGGCACGCGAGCUGGGUUCAGACCGUCAAUUUGGCGGCUUUCCUGAGUA
RNAcentral lists this ribosomal RNA (4196 nucleotides) under bacterium. RNAcentral's name for it is "23S ribosomal RNA". The stretch from base 541 to 4196 matches the Rfam family "Bacterial large subunit ribosomal RNA". The record is from RNAcentral.